UUCAUUCAUUGAUAUAAUAUUAAAAUUACAAGAAAUUCAUCCAGAUUUAUGGAUGUUCGAGAUUGAUCGAUAAAACCAAUCAAAAUCAAACCUUAUUUCUCCCCUCUUUUAUCAUAAAUAAAAAAGAUUGACACCAAGAAUAGAAAAAAUGGGAGAGUGAGAAAAAAAGAAACAAGUUACAUGGAAAAAGGAAAAAGGAAAGGGGAAAUAAUAAAAGACUUGUAAAAAUAGAAAAAAC
RNAcentral lists this long non-coding RNA (238 nucleotides) under Lathyrus oleraceus (garden pea). RNAcentral describes it as "Pisum sativum (pea) long non-coding RNA (PSAT_LNC027119)". Lineage: Eukaryota; Viridiplantae; Streptophyta; Magnoliopsida; Fabales; Fabaceae. The record is from RNAcentral.